This 204-nucleotide unclassified non-coding RNA is filed under the name uncultured Ascomycota. RNAcentral describes it as "sequence contains ITS1". The record is from RNAcentral. Lineage: Eukaryota; Fungi; Ascomycota.
CUGAGUCACGUGCUCAAACAACCCUUCUGUGGACCUAAAUCAAACCGUUGCCUCGGCGGGCGGUCCCCUGCCAAAACCCACGUGGUGUGGGGCAGGGGACCAGACAGUUCGGUACGCUUAAGGCGUCCGGCGCCAGCCGCUGGCCCUAAACAAUUAAACUCUAGUAACCUUACCUUCUGAGUUUUAAUACAAAAAAAUAAGUCA